CCAUCUCAACUAACGCUGGCAACCAGACAGGAGCUUCCUAAAAGUCACACAUUCUCCAUGUGUUGGUGAGAACAAAUGGCGCCUGCCUCCUGCAUCUAUUUUAAGAGUCUGGCAUGUAAAUAUGGAAGAUGACUAAGACUGACCCACACAAUUUUGGGUGGAAAGAAGCCAAUAGCGAAUGAGCCUGAAGCCAAAAAGGCAAAGAGGUGAUGGUCUUGGAACAGUCAUCAAUAUUGCUGCAAAGAAUACUAAGUCAGCGCAGUUAUCUCUGCUGGGAGAGGGGAGAAGAAUGAUCUAACACAACAGCUGACUCGACAAGCUGGCGCUUUGAUCCUAAUAAGAAUCUCAUGAGAGACACAGACACGCAACCUAUCAGAUUCUCCUCUGUAUCUCGACUCUGCUCCUGGUUCUGCUUCCUGGCACAUAGAAGAUUGUACACUCAUCCAGAUGGAUCCAUGAAGCAAGCAUCAGACAAAAGCAUUACUUCCAGGAUUUGCCACUUGAGAUUCUCCAGAAUUACUUUUCUGGAGAUGCAUCAUAUGAGAGACAGCAAGUUUCAGUGGGCGGAGUCAAUGUCAGCUUGGGCACCUGAGUAACUAUCACCCAGAGUAAAGUCCCUAGUAUUGAUCCAACUUGGACAUCACAAUGAAAGAAAAAUCAGGCAAUGGGUUGGUAUUAUAAUAUAAAGACUAUUACAACAUUGGCAGAGAUGAGCCAUUAUAUUUCUGAUAUUAAACGCCAUCCUGUUUGAAAUACUCAGAGUAGCUUUUAACUUCUUCACUAAUAAAGCUAAUAUAGGUUCCCAACUCAACCAGGAGAUGAGUAGGAGGGACCUCUUGUGAUAAGUGACACCUGUCCUGUCUGAAGAAGAGCUCAGAAUAAAUGAGUUGGGAAAAGAAAGACCUGUUCAGACAGAGUGUACAGUGUCAGGAAAAUCUCUGAUGGAGAAAAAGUAUUACAGCUAU
Molecule: small RNA, 965 nt
Filed under: Rattus norvegicus (Norway rat)
Lineage: Eukaryota; Metazoa; Chordata; Mammalia; Rodentia; Muridae
Description: uncharacterized LOC102546938
Source: RNAcentral